RNAcentral lists this long non-coding RNA (207 nucleotides) under Volvox carteri. Its description in RNAcentral is "long non-coding RNA (VCAR_LNC002400)". Lineage: Eukaryota; Viridiplantae; Chlorophyta; Chlorophyceae; Chlamydomonadales; Volvocaceae. The record is from RNAcentral.
CAUUGUUUACCCAAAGGGCAAUGUCGCCCUUGGACGUAUUUGGUGCAGCAGGUCCUUCACACGAUCAAUUCUGUUCGAGUUCGCAGCAGUUAUAUCGCUGCAUCAGGGGGAAAUCUCCCCUGUGCUGCAUUCACCAUCACGGUAUUGUUCAUCUACUAUGAAUAUAACCCCCAGAAUGAUCUUGUGUAUUGUGCUUGUCGUCUUUGC